This 482-nucleotide ribosomal RNA is filed under the name uncultured bacterium. RNAcentral describes it as "partial 16S ribosomal RNA". It matches the Rfam family "Bacterial small subunit ribosomal RNA", at positions 28 to 523 of the family's 1533-position model. The record is from RNAcentral.
GACGAACGCUGGCGGCGUGCUUAACACAUGCAAGUCGAACGAUGAAGAAGAGCUUGCUCUUCGGAUUAGUGGCGAACGGGUGAGUAACACGUGACUAACCUGCCCCUUUCUCUGGGAUAACGCUCCGAAAGGAGUGCUAAUACCGGAUACUCACAUCGAGGCACAUGCCUUGAUGUGGAAAGUUUUUCGGAAAGGGAUGGAGUCGCGGCCUAUCAGCUUGUUGGUGAGGUAACGGCUCACUAAGGCGACGACGGGUAGCCGGCCUGAGAGGGCGACCGGCCACACUGGGACUGAGACACGGCCCAGACUCCUACGGGAGGCAGCAGUGGGGAAUAUUGCACAAUGGGCGAAAGCCUGAUGCAGCGACGCCGCGUGAGGGAUGAAGGUCUUCGGAUUGUAUACCUCUUUCAGUAGGGACGAAGCGAAAGUGACGGUACCUAAAGAAGAAGCACCGGCUAACUACGUGCCAGCAGCCGCGGUAA